RNAcentral lists this ribosomal RNA (533 nucleotides) under uncultured bacterium. RNAcentral's name for it is "bacterial SSU rRNA". It matches the Rfam family "Bacterial small subunit ribosomal RNA", at positions 777 to 1304 of the family's 1533-position model. The record is from RNAcentral.
AAUAGAUACCCCGGUAGUCCUAGCCGUAAACGAUGGGCACUAGUCUGUGGGGACUCUCACAUCCUCUCGGACGUAGCGAAAGUGUUAAGUGCUCCGCCUGGGGAGUAUGGUCGCAAGGCCGAAACUCAAAGGAAUUGACGGGGGCUCACACAAGCGGUGGAGGAUGUGGCUUAAUUCGAGGCUACGCGAAGAACCUUAUCCUAGUCUUGACAUGCUUAAGAACCCGACUGAAAGGUUGGGGUGCCCUUCGGGAAGCUUUUGCACAGGUGCUGCAUGGCUGUCGUCAGCUCGUGUCGUGAGAUGUCGGGUUAAGUCCCUUAACGAGCGAAACCCUUAUCUCUAGUUGCCAGCGCGUAAUGGCGGGGACUCUAGAGAGACUGCCGGUGUUAAACCGGAGGAAGGUGGGGAUGACGUCAAGUCCUCAUGGCCUUUAUGAUUAGGGCUGCACACGUCCUACAAUGCAACAUACAAAGGGAAGCGAACUCGUGAGAGAUAGCAAAUCCCAAAAGGUGUUGCUCAGUUCGGAUUGCAGG